GGGGUCUUAGCUCAGUUGGGAGAGCGCCUGCAUGGCAUGCAGGAGGUCGCGGGUUCGAACCCCGCAUUCUCCACCA
RNAcentral lists this transfer RNA (76 nucleotides) under Pseudomonas nitroreducens. RNAcentral's name for it is "tRNA-Ala". It matches the Rfam family "tRNA". From Rfam's summary of the family: Transfer RNA (tRNA) molecules are approximately 80 nucleotides in length. Lineage: Bacteria; Pseudomonadati; Pseudomonadota; Gammaproteobacteria; Pseudomonadales; Pseudomonadaceae. The record is from RNAcentral.